GUGAAUUGCAUCACUUAUCAGUAUGUAGAAUUGCUUGCUGAUUGAUAGUAGCAGUCUCAUUGGAAUUAAGAUGGAUAAUUUUAGUUUGGGCAGAAUGCAGAAAUAGUUGCAUCUCCACAGGACCUUCAUCUGCCUUCUUUCGCUUUACUUAUCUAAAAUAGAUCCUUUAAGCCUCUGGAGAUCCAGUAUACUUACAUGUCUGCUAAUGGCACCAGCAGGUAGGAGUGCAAAACAGUGUUUGAGGGUAUAUUGGUCAGAGAGCAUGAAGGCAGCAAGAUGUGUUGGAUUACAAAAUUGCAGCUGCUGUAAACAUACCUGCCAACAGGGCACAUUAUAAAAAUGAAGAUAUCUAGUAACACUUUAGUGAUCUACUGAAGCAGUACACAAGCAGCUAAUCUCUUGAUGUGCCAUAAAUCUGACCAAUAGUGGAUCCCGGACUUAUACCAUGUACUCUGUGAAUGUGGCAUAUUCGGGAUGUGCUACAAUUGCUGAAGAACACACCAAAUUUAUGUUACAUACCCAGAGAAAUGGCACUGUUGGAAUGUUGUGGGACUCAUAAGUCCUGGAAAAGCUAUGCUCACUGCAAGCUCGACAGAGUCACCUGCACCUGCAAGGCUGGCCGUGCCUGGGGCUGUCAUUCACCUUCCCUACAAGCAGCCAGAGGCAAAUGA
Molecule: long non-coding RNA, 671 nt
Filed under: Anser brachyrhynchus (Pink-footed goose)
Lineage: Eukaryota; Metazoa; Chordata; Aves; Anseriformes; Anatidae
Description: lncRNA (ENSABRG00000021149.1)
Source: RNAcentral